Molecule: ribosomal RNA, 426 nt
Filed under: uncultured bacterium
Lineage: Bacteria
Description: SSU rRNA
Rfam family: Bacterial small subunit ribosomal RNA
Source: RNAcentral
CAAUGGGGGGAAACCCUGAAUGCAGCGACGCCGCGUGGAGGAAAGAAGGUCUUCGGAUUGUAAACUCCUGUUGUUGGGGAAGAUAAUGACGGUACCCAACAAGGNAAGUGACGGCUAACUACGUGCCAGCAGCCGCGGUAAAACGUAGGUCACAAGCGUUGUCCGGAAUUACUGGGUGUAAAGGGAGCGCAGGCGGGAAGACAAGUUGGAAGUGAAAUCUAUGGGCUCAACCCAUAAACUGCUUUCAAAACUGUUUUUCUUGAGUAGUGCAGAGGUAGGCGGAAUUCCCGGUGUAGCGGUGGAAUGCGUAGAUAUCGGGAGGAACACCAGUGGCGAAGGCGGCCUACUGGGCACCAACUGACGCUGAGGCUCGAAAGUGUGGGUAGCAAACAGGAUUAGAUACCCUGGUAGUCCAAGGGCGAAUUC